Molecule: ribosomal RNA, 492 nt
Filed under: uncultured bacterium
Lineage: Bacteria
Description: partial 16S ribosomal RNA
Rfam family: Bacterial small subunit ribosomal RNA
Source: RNAcentral
GAUGAACGCUAGCUACAGGCUUAACACAUGCAAGUCGAGGGGAAACGGCAUUGAGUGCUUGCACUCUUUGGACGUCGACCGGCGCACGGGUGAGUAACGCGUAUCCAACCUUCCCAUUACUGUGGGAUAACCUGCCGAAAGGCAGACUAAUACCGCAUAGUCUUCGAUGACGGCAUCAGAUUUGAAGUAAAGAUUUAUCGGUAAUGGAUGGGGAUGCGUCUGAUUAGCUUGUUGGCGGGGUAACGGCCCACCAAGGCUACGAUCAGUAGGGGUUCUGAGAGGAAGGCCCACCACAAUGGAACUGCGACACGGUCCAAAAUCCUACGGGAGGCAGCAGUGAGGAAUAUUGGGCAAUGGACGGAAGUCUGACCCAGCCAAGUAGCGUGCAGGAUGACGGCCCUAUGGGUUGUAAACUGCUUUUGUAUGGGGAUAAAGUUAGGGACGUGUCCCUAUUUGCAGGUACCAUAUGAAUAAGGACCGGCUAAUUCCGUG